AGGAUCAUUACAGUAUUCUCUAGACUGGAUUUGCAUCAGCCGAAGAAGUGCCACACCUGCGCUGCUGAAAUAUUGCGUGCGCGGUGAUCUCUUGUUUGGUAGCAAUUCCGUUAAAGUCUGGAAAUCUCCUUACACACUUUGUUUUCUUAUUAGAGACAAAUUUGCUUUGGUCAGUGACUGUGUAAAAGCAGCACCAGCUGGCCAGAGGUUUAACAAAACUCUUUUUCAUUUUCCUUUGGAAGAUUGAAAAUCUGUAUUAUUUCUUGUCAAAUUACUAAAAGUUGCGUAGCAGCUUUUCUAAAUUUUAAAACUUUCAACAACGGAUCUCUUGGUUCUCGCAUCGAUGAAGAACGCAGCGAAAUGCGAUAAGUAAUGUGAAUUGCAGAUUUUCGUGAAUCAUUGAAUCUUUGAACGCACAUUGCGCCCUCUGGUAUUCCAGAGGGCAUGCCUGUUUGAGCGUCAUUUCCCUCUCAAACCCCUAGGGUUUGGUGAUGGGCAAUACUCCCGCGAGGGAGUUUGCUUGAAAUGCAUUGGCAUGAGUUUUUGAUACGAACCUUAGCUGUUUAUUCAAUGUAUUAGGUUUAAUCCAUCGUUGAUUGACAACUUUUGAUUCAUUCAAAGUUUGGCUCUGCCUAACAAACUUUAUCAUAAAGUUUGACCUCAAAUCAGGUAGGAGUACCCGCUGAACUUAA
This 692-nucleotide small RNA is filed under the name Ogataea sp. A1120. RNAcentral describes it as "eukaryotic LSU rRNA". The stretch from base 309 to 462 matches the Rfam family "5.8S ribosomal RNA". The record is from RNAcentral. Lineage: Eukaryota; Fungi; Ascomycota; Pichiomycetes; Pichiales; Pichiaceae. RNAcentral also lists the same sequence under 1 other name.